This 253-nucleotide ribosomal RNA is filed under the name uncultured bacterium. RNAcentral's name for it is "partial 16S ribosomal RNA". It matches the Rfam family "Bacterial small subunit ribosomal RNA", at positions 524 to 776 of the family's 1533-position model. The record is from RNAcentral.
UACGAAGGGGGCUAGCGUUGCUCGGAAUUACUGGGCGUAAAGGGCGCGUAGGCGGAUAGUUUAGUCAGAGGUGAAAGCCCAGGGCUCAACCUUGGAAUUGCCUUUGAUACUGGCUAUCUUGAGUUCGGGAGAGGUGAGUGGAAUGCCGAGUGUAGAGGUGAAAUUCGUAGAUAUUCGCAAGAACACCAGUGGCGAAGGCGGCUCACUGGGUCAUUACUGACGCUGAGGCACGAAAGCGUGGGGAGCAAACAGG